This 115-nucleotide ribosomal RNA is filed under the name Streptococcus pneumoniae. RNAcentral also lists the same sequence under 4 other names. Lineage: Bacteria; Bacillati; Bacillota; Bacilli; Lactobacillales; Streptococcaceae. The record is from RNAcentral.
UGGUGGCGAUAGCGAAGAGGUCACACCCGUUCCCAUACCGAACACGGAAGUUAAGCUCUUUAGCGCCAAUGGUAGUUGGGACUUUGUCCCUGUGAGAGUAGGACGUUGCCAGGCA